UUAACAUGCUCGGGAAUCAAACCCGGGCCGCCCGCGUGGCAGGUGAGCAUUCUACCACUGAACCACCGA
This 69-nucleotide transfer RNA is filed under the name Cordylochernes scorpioides. Its description in RNAcentral is "tRNA-Gly". Lineage: Eukaryota; Metazoa; Arthropoda; Arachnida; Pseudoscorpiones; Chernetidae. The record is from RNAcentral.